Molecule: long non-coding RNA, 279 nt
Organism: Syngnathus acus (greater pipefish)
Lineage: Eukaryota; Metazoa; Chordata; Actinopteri; Syngnathiformes; Syngnathidae
Exons: 2
Source: RefSeq, a predicted model, not a curated record
CCUAGCUUUAAACCUAACCCUAGCUCUAAGGAGGUGUAUGGUUAUAUGGGGCAGGACACGAGCAACUGUGCUGCAAAGUUUUCCAUGAUAAAAAGUUUUAGGUCCCACUGAGAUUCGAACCCGGGUCGCUGGGGUCAAUGCAAUCUCCGGUUAGAAUAUCUUAUUUUUUUCCAUUUUGCGCGUAGGUAUUAACAAGUAGAAUAGUCUUAAAUUAUUCACAAUUAUUUAGGCAGUUAAUUAUGGGAUAUUUUGGUACACUACACGAGGUAAAAAAAAAAA